RNAcentral lists this long non-coding RNA (781 nucleotides) under Anas platyrhynchos platyrhynchos (common mallard). RNAcentral's name for it is "lncRNA (ENSAPLG00000020515.1)". Lineage: Eukaryota; Metazoa; Chordata; Aves; Anseriformes; Anatidae. The record is from RNAcentral.
GAUGGUUCAGCUGAAAGAGCAUGGUACUGAUAUGGAGAGAUACUAGGAAAAGGCAAUGUUAAUACAGUGCGUUAUCUGCAAAGGCAAUGUACAAAGGGAAGAAGCAGAAGAGAUUGCAUAUGUGUAUGAUGAGAGUCAAGAUGCUCAUCAUAAUGGCUUCCCAGUUGUCCUCCAGGUGCUUGAGUUUUGUCCAAGCUUUGGAGGAUAUUUGGAAGUAAAAUUAUCACCAUAGUCCUGUUUACCCACGGUAUCUCAGUGAAGCUGCCUUUGAAUGUUUUUCUACAAUGACCUUUUAGAAUACCUGCUUUCAGGAUAGGCUACGAGCCGGUAAGUUUAGCUUAGAUGUGUUUUCUUACAUUUAGCUAUAUUAAAAACUAUGAUCUUUGCUUGACGCUUCUUUACCAAGGAAAACUAAAUGGCUUUCAGUUGCUGAUCCUUGUUUUUAUUACUCCAUAAUCUGUAAAUUUGUUCGGCAAUAUUCUUAUACUUUUCCUUCGUGCAUUGACAAAACUGCUGAAUAAUAUAGGGUCAAGCUCUUGAAGGUGGGAUAAAAAACCUGUUCUCUUUUUUUCGUAUUUAAUUGAUACAAACUGGAAACACUUAUUUAGUGUUUAGCCUCAUCUGCAAUUGCAUUUUGAGGGCUAUCAGUCUCUAACCCACUUGAUGUGUCAUGUUGAUUUUGAGUUUCUUAAUCAAAUGUCAUUUUUCAUCAAGUCAACCGCCUUACAAAAAUGUUAUAUCUGUGCUAUUAAUUAACAAUAAACUUAUAAUUAAAAAAUCA